AAGCAUUUGCAGCACUUGCCUGGAUCCUGGCCCCCCCCGCCCGGUCCCCUUCCAAGCGCUGCUUGAGAGCAAAGGCCGGUGACCCCCCGCAUUCCAGCGGCGCCUGCUGGGGGGUGACCCUGUCCCACAGACUUCCUGUUGCAGAGAUCCCAUGCCCUUCUGUUGCAACUCCCUUGCAUUAAACCAGCGGCCACUGUUGGCUGUGCCCGGUGAUAGGCUAUAUUUUAACCUACGUGACCUUAAGAGGAAUAAUUCUCGAACUUAAACAAAUAUAUGCAGAGCCUGCACAGCUCUGCACUAUUAUGAGCGUUACAAACACAGAGUGCAUAAUCCUGGAGUAUUUGGAGAGCUACAAAAAGAACCAAAUGAGUGGGGAACUUGGCUGUUUCUUGGGGGAUGAAUUGCUCACAUCUUUAAGAAUACAGAACUCUUCAGAAAGCUGCACCCAGGGACUUUCUUUCUCAAUUGGUGGAUUAAUAGUAAUUUUGGGCAAUCCAGCCUACCCAUUGCUCAUGAAGCUGUACACCAGCUACCUGGACAGCACCAAGGAAUGAUUCAAUUGUGACGAAGUGUGGCAUUUUCUUAAGAUUUUGAACGAAUACUGCGUGCCUCAGUUUCCCCUAUGUGUUGCAUGAUUAACUAUGUGGUGAAAUGGUGUUUGAUCUUUGCAGAGACUCCUAGAGGAACAGGUGUGAUUGUCUAGCUGCCUGGGCCCAGACAAUGGCUAGACAUUCAGUAACUUAGAAACUGAUGGCGGGGGGGGGCACAUCCUCUGCAAGAAGCCAGACUGCUGCGUCAAAUUGAAGAACAAAGAGGUGGAGGCCAGGUGACCAAUUUUUCCUGGGAAACACAACAAAGGACAGAGGGGCAAAUGGGCAUGACUGAGUGUGGGCUGCUGGAAACAGGACAGUCUCCUUCUUGUGGGUUUUCGAGAGGGAACCCAAGCUCGGGGCCCAACCAAGAUGGACUUCGCUGGGACUCCCUGCUUUCUGUGCUAAUGAAGAACUUUCUUACCCUGUGUUCCAGACAACUAAUAAACCCCUCUCUGUUACA
This is a long non-coding RNA of Caretta caretta (loggerhead turtle), 1053 nucleotides long. RefSeq lists it as uncharacterized. Lineage: Eukaryota; Metazoa; Chordata; Testudines; Cheloniidae. The record is from RefSeq and is a predicted model, not a curated record.